GUUGCUGUAGCUUAAAACAAAGCAUAGCACUGAAAAUGCUAAAAUGGUUUCUACCCGCCAACA
Molecule: transfer RNA, 63 nt
Filed under: Macrovipera schweizeri
Lineage: Eukaryota; Metazoa; Chordata; Lepidosauria; Squamata; Viperidae
Description: tRNA-Phe
Rfam family: tRNA
About the family: Transfer RNA (tRNA) molecules are approximately 80 nucleotides in length. Their secondary structure includes four short double-helical elements and three loops (D, anti-codon, and T loops).
Source: RNAcentral